RNAcentral lists this ribosomal RNA (532 nucleotides) under uncultured Gammaproteobacteria bacterium. Its description in RNAcentral is "bacterial SSU rRNA". It matches the Rfam family "Bacterial small subunit ribosomal RNA", at positions 71 to 594 of the family's 1533-position model. Lineage: Bacteria; Pseudomonadati; Pseudomonadota; Gammaproteobacteria. The record is from RNAcentral.
GAUGGGAGCUUGCUCCCAGGCGUCGAGCGGCGGACGGGUGAGUAACGCGUAGGAAUCUACCCAGUAGCGGGGGAUAGCCCGAGGAAACUCGGAUUAAUACCGCAUACGCCCUAAGGGGGAAAGGGGGGGAACUCUUCGGAGACCUCUCACUAUUGGAGGAGCCUGCGUUGGAUUAGCUAGUUGGUAGGGUAAAGGCCUACCAAGGCGACGAUCCAUAGCUGUUCUGAGAGGAAGAUCAGCCACACUGGAACUGAGACACGGUCCAGACUCCUACGGGAGGCAGCAGUUGGGAAUAUUGCACAAUGGGCGCAAGCCUGAUGCAGCCAUGCCGCGUGUGUGAAGAAGGCCUUAGGGUUGUAAAGCACUUUCAGUAGGGAGGAAUCAACCAAAUUAAUACUUUGGUGAAAUGACGUUACCUACAGAAGAAGAUCCGGCUAACUCCGUGCCAGCAGCCGCGGUAAUACGGAGGGAUCAAACGUUAAUCGGAAUUACUGGGCGUAAAGCGCGCGUAGGUGGUUUUUUAAGUGGGAUG